GUCCACGCCGUAAACGUUGGGCGCUAGGUGUGGGGCUCAUUCCACGAGUUCCGUGCCGCAGCUAACGCAUUAAGCGCCCCGCCUGGGGAGUACGGCCGCAAGGCUAAAACUCAAAGGAAUUGACGGGGGCCCCGCACAAGCGGCGGAGCAUGUUGCUUAAUUCGAUGCAACGCGAAGAACCUUACCUAGGCUUGACAUGCACGGAAAUCUCGCAGAGAUGCGGGGUCCGUAAGGGCCGUGCACAGGUGGUGCAUGGUUGUCGU
Molecule: ribosomal RNA, 263 nt
Filed under: uncultured bacterium
Lineage: Bacteria
Description: partial 16S ribosomal RNA
Rfam family: Bacterial small subunit ribosomal RNA
Source: RNAcentral